UCCUUCAUAUGUAGGACAAAUUCUCUCUAGAAAUCACACAAACAUCACUUAAAACUCAACCAAUUUUAAGCACUCUUUCCUUCUUUGUGAUCCACCAAAACCAAAGGCCAAAAAUAAGGUUGUUGCCUUCGGGUUUUCAUCCUCCAUUUUAGCCCCUUGCACCUUCAUUUUGCUUGGUAUUUUCACCUACAUUUACGUCUGAAUGUUAGUUGAUUUGGUGCAUUAAAAUGGGUACUCAAAACAAUAGCUAGGCUGUUCUUUUUCUUGCUUCUUUGCUGGAAAUUCUGAGCCAUACACAACCAAAACAGUGGCUGUUUUCAAGCACCAAAAUAACCCAAAAACAUCUUCAUUUUUCUGCCCAUUUUCGAGAUCUAAACAUCCCCAUAACAUGCUGAUUUCAAGUGUCUAUAAACCCAAGAAAACCUUCAUCGUGUUCCUUAAAAUCAUUGUAUCUCAACACUCUUUUUGGUAACACACGUCUAGAUCCAAGAAUAAGCAAGGUAAACACUUGUUUCCUACCUUUCUUUUGUCAUAAAACUCACUUAUUUUAAGUGAGUUAAAUCUUGAUAAAAGUCUAAAUUAUUGUUAAUGUAUGUCUUUAUGUGUUAAGACAUCCCAAAAAUCAUUCAAAUCUCAAGCUUCGUUGGAACCGGAAACUUCAAGGAUCUUUCUAAUAACGUUACGCGACAAAAGUGAGUUUCUAUGACCCCUCUUUAUAUUUUACAAGUUUUAGGGGAUAAUACAUGCUAAAUGAUGUCUAUUUGGAUGAUAUAAAAGCUUAGCUAAGUAAAAAUACAUGUUAUUUUACUAAACAUUUCUAGGCUUAUUUUUCAGCUUUUACAAAAAAAUUACGGUCUGUUCAAGAUCUUUUCCUCAUCUUAAACCCUAUGGUUUGCAAAACCAUACCAUAUACUAGUAGCUCAGAUCGAUACCUUUUCAGGGACUACUCACACAUGUUCAUAUAAUUUUUCUAUAAUUUAUUAUGAUUUUACAAAACAGCAUAUCAUUUAAGUACAUUUCGGACCAGUCUAUAAAAAUGGUCAUUUUCACCCUAUUUAAAAUCCAAAUCAAGUCAGGGAAAAAAUCAUGGACAAAUUAGAAUCAAUUUCUAAACCUUGAGAAUUUACGGAUCCUAAUUCCGAUCCCCGAUGAUUUUUCUAGAUUUUUUCUAUAAUAUGGACUGAAUAGACAUUUUAGAUUAAUUUCCCAGCCUUGUCUCAUUGGGUUAAAUUGGCUUUUAAGUGAUAUAGAUGUUGUAUAUAGGUGUUGAUUUUUAAAUAUAUAUAUAUAUAUANNNNNNNNNNNNNNNNNNNNNNNNNNNNNNNNNNNNNNNNNNNNNNNNNNNNNNNNNNNNNNNNNNNNNNNNNNNNNNNNUAUAUAUAUAUAUAUAUUUAUAUGCAUACACACACACACAUUUAUGUAUCAAAAGAACAUAAACGGAAAUGUUAUAUGUGUUCGUUAAAAUGUUUUCCUUAUGUAUGUACACAUUUAAAUUGCAUUGUUUUCACACGCAUUUUACUACUAUAGUUGUAGAAGUUUAGAUUGUUAAGGUUUUAGUUGGUUUCACUUAGGUUGAAAUGUAGUUUUAGUCAAAACGCUGUCGUUAUGCUACCCGAUUUGGAUAGGAAAAUUUUUGCAGCUUUACACUUAGGAUUCAUUAAGCUUUACAAUCAAAAUUUUCCGAGCAUAAACAAUUGGGAAUUGUAUUUACACAUUUUUUAAGCUUUACAACCAAAAGUUUCCGAACACAAACAAUUGGGAAUUGUAACUAAAACAAAGGAUUGUUGUGGAAGUUUCUCAUUCACCAAACUAAUAAUACCAACUUAGUGAAGUCCUUUGUAAUAACCGUUAAUCCUUUGUGAGUGAAAAAUGUUGUGUAUAGAUCUAUACGUGUUGACACCCCCAUCUGUAUGGUUGCAAGCUACAACCUUCGUGUGACGAGAUAACUCGGACGAUAACUUCUUGUUUUUAUCUUAUUCUUUAUUCACGAUGUCCAUGAAGCGUCAUUAGGACAACAAACACCACCCUAUUUAUUGUGCUUCACGGAGGCGUGAACAAGUCAUAGCUUGGUUAUUUACUCCACAAAAUUCCGGUUACAAAAAUACUAUUACAAACUAGGAUAAGGUUGUAUGUAGUAUAAAGAUUAUUUGUAGAUUGUUAACCAGUUUGGUAGUGUUUAUUUAUAUAAACACUUAAUAUUUCACUUCAAGAAAAUAUUUUAAUAUUUUACUUAUUCAUUAUAAGUAUAUUAACAGGAAUACUUUUCUCAGAUUACAAGUAUUGGGUCUCACACGAUGCAUAUCGGUAACACUGUUGACUAUGUUUUUGCACAAACUAUUCGGAUAAACAUUCUAUAUUUUAUAAACAUUUACUCUCGGAUCAGGAUUAAGUGUAGUGUUUUAUUUAAAUAAAAUAAACACUUAAGAGUAUACAAUACGAAAUCAUGUUGACUUCAAAUUAUAUUUCAUAAGUAAAUCAACAUCCAUACUUGUAUGGGAUUACAAGUACAUUUACACUUAGAUCAGGAUGACACUUCUCAUUAUUGUUUUACCACUCUGAAUUAUAAAAGUAACAUUUUUGUACAAUCAGAUAACGGUUGAUUUUUACACAAAAGUCCUCUUUUAAAAAAUAUAAAUUGAGUCAAAACUUGUAGAACUCACCAACAAUUUUGUUGACGUAUUCUUGCGUGUAUUAUCAGGGAAAUAGAAGCUGGAUAAUAAGCCUCACGACUUGGAAUAACCUUUCUUGGCUAACCUAUUAAGGCCUUUUUGUUUUUGUUACAUUAUGACUUGCUAAACUUUUUUUUGUAAACUUGUAUUUUGAAGUUUGAAUCAAUGAAAUCCUUGUAUACAAAUCUAUGAAGACAUGUAAUGUUAUUCAAAUCUUGUAUUGUUCAAUGUAUUUUUGUUAACUGUGAUCUAAUUUUCAAGGUCGCAACCUCGGUGCGUCCACCGCUGGCCAGGGUGUGACAUCAACUCACAAGGUUCAGAUGGAAACCAAGAUGAAGAUAAAUAUGUACAAAUGUUGUUCAUAUUCUGGUUUAUUCAUCAACACAUACACAUGCAUAAAAUUUAAAUCACACACUCAGUUUUUCGAGUUUGUUCUGAAACACAUACACACACUCGGUUUUAUGGGUUUGCUCCUUAACACAUAUAUACAAAUAAUCAAUUUUGGGUUUUCUCUUUAAGAACACUUGAUUUUUUAUGUUUGUUGCUGGAACUAAAAACCAAUUUCCGAAUCUGAAAAAGUUUAUGGGUUUCCAAGAACAACCAAUUUCUACAAAAUCAAUUUCAUAUGUGUGUUUUCAAAUCAUUUAUAGGUUGAAGGGUUAAUGGACUUAAAUAAGUAGACGAUGACACUGAAUAAAAUUGAAGCUGAAAUCAUCCCAUAACUCGAUUGGGUUACAAGAAUCGGAGCUAAAAUCAAUACUGAAUCAAGAAGAUAGUGUGUGUGUAUGUGUAUGUUAUGUUAUUGGUUCACCGAAAUCCAUUAUUCCUCUCUUCUACCAGAAUCAGAGCUGAUCUAAUUCACAUUUCAAAGAGUAAUGAAGUGAAGAAGGUGAUGUUGCGUUGAUGAACAAGUAUGGUCAAGGUUAUGAUGAACAACCAAAGGCGAUGAUGGUGAUGGUAAUUGGUGGUGGCAGAGGGUGAUGUUCAUAAAGACGUUCUUAUGUGUGUGGUUUUUCAAGAUCUUACUGAGUGUGUAUGUAUGUGUGUUCAUAAAGAACAAAUCCAAAUGGGUGGAGAUAGAUAGAUAGAUAGAUAGAUAGAUAGAUAUAUAGAUAAAGAGAGAGAAAGAAAGAAAGAAAGAGAAAGAGAGAGAAAGACCCCCUUCUUUCUACUAUCUAUUAAAUAUUAUAAAAAUAUUACAAAAAUUAUUUAAAUAACAAAAAUGAAUAUUUAAA
RNAcentral lists this long non-coding RNA (3904 nucleotides) under Lactuca sativa (garden lettuce). RNAcentral describes it as "long non-coding RNA (LSAT_LNC003660)". Lineage: Eukaryota; Viridiplantae; Streptophyta; Magnoliopsida; Asterales; Asteraceae. The record is from RNAcentral.